UUCCUUGAACCGCAUGGUUCAAGGAUGAAAGACGGUUUCGGCUGUCACUUACAGAUGGACCCGCGGCGCAUUAGCUAGUUGGUGGGGUAAUGGCUCACCAAGGCUCUUGACGAUGCGCUAGCCGACCUGAGAGGGUGAUCGGCCACACUUCGGGACUGAGACACGGCCCAGACUCCUACGGGAGGCAGCAGUAGGGAAUCUUCCGCAAUGGACGAAAGUCUGCAACGGACGCAACGCCGCGUGAGUGAUGAAGGUUUUCGGAUCGUAAAGCUCUGUUGUUAGGGAAGAACAAGUGCGAGAGUAACUGCUCGCACCUUGACGGUACCUAACCAGAAAGCCACGGCUAACUACGUGCCAGCAGCCGCGGUAAUACGUAGGUGGCAAGCGUUGUCCGGAAUUAUUGGGCGUAAAGGGUCUCGCAGGCGGUUUCUUAAGUCUGAUGUGAAAGCCCCCGGCUCAACCGGGGAGGGUCAUUGGAAUCACUGGGAAACUUGAGUCAGCAUGAAGAGGAGAGUGGAAUUCCACGUGUAGCGCGUGAAAUGCGUAGAGAUGUGGAGGAACACCAGUGGCGAAGGCGACUCUCUGGUCUGUAACUGACGCU
This 601-nucleotide ribosomal RNA is filed under the name Bacillus pumilus. RNAcentral describes it as "bacterial SSU rRNA". It matches the Rfam family "Bacterial small subunit ribosomal RNA", at positions 173 to 747 of the family's 1533-position model. The record is from RNAcentral. Lineage: Bacteria; Bacillati; Bacillota; Bacilli; Caryophanales; Bacillaceae.